This 467-nucleotide long non-coding RNA is filed under the name Homo sapiens (human). RNAcentral describes it as "HSALNT0117994". Lineage: Eukaryota; Metazoa; Chordata; Mammalia; Primates; Hominidae. The record is from RNAcentral.
UGAGACCCCAGGAAGAGCUGCACAGGGUCCUUGGCCGUGGAGCAGCCUCUACAACUGUAAGCUCAGGCUCCGCAGGGUGUGUCCUCGGCGUGUGCAGGGUUGCUGUCACAGGGGUGCCACGCCGGGCCCCUAAAGCACCAGCCCCCUUGCCUGGGUUCUUCCUUUAUGUUUUCAUUAGGUAAGAUCUACAUAAUAGAAAAUUCACCAUUUUGACAUGAACCAUUCAAUGGCAUUUACUACCUUCAAAAUGUUGUACGGCCACCACUUCUACAGCCUAUCAGCCGCCACUCCCACUGCCCUGGCCCAGACCCUGACAACACGAAUCUGCUUUCUGUCUCCAUGGAUUUGCCGGUUCUGGAUCUCUCAUUGGAGCGCAUUCACACAGCAUGCAGCCCUUUGUGUCUGGUUCUUUUACUUGGUGCGGCAUUUCCGAGGCUCGCCCAUGCUGUGGCACAGGCCAGUGCAAC